RNAcentral lists this ribosomal RNA (897 nucleotides) under Parabacteroides distasonis. Its description in RNAcentral is "bacterial SSU rRNA". Lineage: Bacteria; Pseudomonadati; Bacteroidota; Bacteroidia; Bacteroidales; Tannerellaceae. The record is from RNAcentral.
AGAGUUUGAUCCUGGCUCAGGAUGAACGCUAGCGAYAGGCUUAACACAUGCAAGUCGAGGGGCAGCGGGGGUAGCAAUACCCGCCGGCGACCGGCGCACGGGUGAGUAACGCGUAUGCAACUUACCUAUCAGAGGGGGGAUAACCCGGCGAAAGUCGGACUAAUACCGCAUGAAGCAGGGGCCCCGCAUGGGGAUAUUUGCUAAAGAUUCAUCGCUGAUAGAUAGGCAUGCGUUCCAUUAGGCAGUUGGCGGGGUAACGGCCCACCAAACCGACGAUGGAUAGGGGUUCUGAGAGGAAGGUCCCCCACAUUGGUACUGAGACACGGACCAAACUCCUACGGGAGGCAGCAGUGAGGAAUAUUGGUCAAUGGCCGAGAGGCUGAACCAGCCAAGUCGCGUGAGGGAUGAAGGUUCUAUGGAUCGUAAACCUCUUUUAUAAGGGAAUAAAGUGCGGGACGUGUCCCGUUUUGUAUGUACCUUAUGAAUAAGGAUCGGCUAACUCCGUGCCAGCAGCCGCGGUAAUACGGAGGAUCCGAGCGUUAUCCGGAUUUAUUGGGUUUAAAGGGUGCGUAGGCGGCCUUUUAAGUCAGCGGUGAAAGUCUGUGGCUCAACCAUAGAAUUGCCGUUGAAACUGGGGGGCUUGAGUAUGUUUGAGGCAGGCGGAAUGCGUGGUGUAGCGGUGAAAUGCAUAGAUAUCACGCAGAACCCCGAUUGCGAAGGCAGCCUGCCAAGCCAUUACUGACGCUGAUGCACGAAAGCGUGGGGAUCAAACAGGAUUAGAUACCCUGGUAGUCCACGCAGUAAACGAUGAUCAAUAGCUGUUUGCGAUACACUGUAAGCGGCACAGCGAAAGCGUUAAGUGAUCCACCUGGGGAGUACGCCGGCAACGGUGAAMCU